AACCAGGUGACAGGACCCACACAAUUUGGGGGGCCCUGUGCAAAAUGAAAAUGUGGGGUCCCUGGUUUAAAAAAUCACGAAGAAUUUUAAGAUGACAACAGCAGGGCAUUGAACCAAGUGCUGGGUGCUUCUGAGAACAGAGCGCUGUGUGACUGCACAGGUCUCAUGGCGGUGAAGACAGCCCUGCCAGGCAAGCUCUUCUACCAGAGGCAAGCAUUUUCACCAGCCAUUUUGAAUUUGAUGUGCUCAGCACUUUGAGGUAGCUGGCUCCUGGGCUCAGAUUCUGACUCACUGGCUG
Molecule: long non-coding RNA, 298 nt
Filed under: Pan troglodytes (chimpanzee)
Lineage: Eukaryota; Metazoa; Chordata; Mammalia; Primates; Hominidae
Description: long non-coding RNA NONPTRT007718
Source: RNAcentral